RNAcentral lists this ribosomal RNA (253 nucleotides) under uncultured bacterium. RNAcentral describes it as "partial 16S ribosomal RNA". It matches the Rfam family "Bacterial small subunit ribosomal RNA", at positions 524 to 776 of the family's 1533-position model. The record is from RNAcentral.
UACGAAGGGGGCUAGCGUUGCUCGGAUUGACUGGGCGUAAAGGGCGCGUAGGCGGUUUGUACAGUCAGACGUGAAAUUCCCGGGCUCAACCUGGGGGCUGCGUUUGAUACGUGCAGACUUGAGUUCGGAAGAGGGUCGUGGAAUUCCCAGUGUAGAGGUGAAAUUCGUAGAUAUUGGGAAGAACACCGGUGGCGAAGGCGGCGCUCUGGACCGAGACUGACGCUGAGGCGCGAAAGCGUGGGGAGCAAACAGG